This is an RNA transcript of Panicum hallii, 2374 nucleotides long. It is a transcript of the gene named probable pre-mRNA-splicing factor ATP-dependent RNA helicase DEAH9, with no coding region annotated. NCBI's taxonomy places the organism in Eukaryota, Viridiplantae, Streptophyta, Magnoliopsida, Poales, Poaceae. The transcript is spliced from 25 exons. The record is from RefSeq and is a predicted model, not a curated record.
CGUUAGCGCUCCCCACUUCUCCCACCGCCAGCCGCGCCAAUCGCCAGGCAUCAGCGUGGGCGGCCAUGUCCAGGUUCUGGAAGCCGGGGUCGGAGAAGCCGAGCACCCUACUCGUCGACGACGAGGAGGGCGGGGUCGUCUUCCUCCCCUCCUCCACCACCUCCGCAUCCUCCUCCGGGUUUGGGUACGCGAGCUUGGAGAGGCAGCGGCAGCGGCUGCCGGUGUACAAGUACCGUAAGGCUAUCCUCUACCUGGUGGAGCGGCACGCCACCACCAUCGUCGUCGGCGAGACAGGCAGCGGCAAGUCCACACAGAUCCCUCAGUACCUUAAGGAGGCUGGUUGGGCUGAUGGUGGUCGACUUAUUGGAUGCACUCAGCCCAGGCGAUUGGCUGUGCAGGCGGUUGCAUCAAGGGUAGCUGAAGAAGUAGGCGUGAAACUUGGAGAAGAAGUCGGUUAUACAAUCCGAUUCGAAGAUCAAACAAAUCCGGGUAUGACCAUGAUAAAAUUUCUCACAGAUGGGGUAUUGAUUAGAGAAAUGAUGGAAGAUCCUCUUCUUACCAAAUAUAGUGUAAUUAUGGUGGAUGAAGCUCAUGAAAGAUCCAUCUCGACCGACAUGUUGCUGGGACUCCUGAAAAAGAUUCAGCGUCGCCGGCCCGAGCUGCGUCUGAUCAUCUCCUCUGCAACAAUUGAAGCAAGAUCAAUGUCAACUUUCUUCAACAUUAGGCGGAAGAAUUCCUUGCUUGGGUCUUCUGAUGAUUUGCCCAACCCAGAACCUGCUAUACUUUCUGUUGAAGGUAAAGGAUACACCGUGGAAAUUCAUUAUGUUGAAGAACCUGUCUCAGACUACUUACGGGCUGCUGUGAAUACUGUACUUCUUAUUCAUGAAAAGGAACCACCAGGGGAUAUCUUGGUAUUCUUAACUGGUCAGGAUGACAUAGACGCUGCUGUUAAGUUGCUGAAUGAAGAAAUUCAGCACCUUGGAAGACACUAUUUGGACUUGCUGAUUUUGCCCUUGUACUCUGGCCUUCCACGUGGAGAUCAAGAUCUCAUUUUCGCUCCUACUUCAAAAGGAAAAAGAAAAGUUGUGUUAUCAACCAACAUUGCCGAGACGUCACUGACUUUGGAGGGUGUGGUGUAUGUUGUUGAUAGCGGAUUUUCCAAGCAGAAGUGUUAUAAUCCGAUUUCUGACAUCGAGAGUUUAGUCGUUGCACCGAUAUCCAAGGCCUCUGCAAGACAACGAGCAGGCAGAGCUGGAAGGGUGCGGCCUGGGAAGUGCUUUAGGCUUUAUACAGAGGAAUACUAUCUUAAUGAAAUGCAGUCAGAAGGAAUUCCAGAAAUGCAAAGGUCCAACUUGGUCUCCUGCAUCAUACAGUUAAAAGCCCUAGGCAUAGACAACAUUCUUGGCUUUGAUUGGCCAGCUUCUCCAUCUCCAGAGGCAAUGAUUCGGGCCCUCGAAGUUCUAUUCUCCCUAGGAAUCCUUGAUGAAGAUGCCAAAUUGACAGUACCCAUUGGUUUCCAAGUUGCUGAGAUCCCUCUGGACCCCAUGAUUUCGAAAAUGAUCUUGUCAGCAAAUGAUUUUGGAUGCUCUGAUGAGAUAUUGACCAUAGCAUCAUUUCUAUCUGUUCAAUCUGUGUGGGUUUCUGUGAGGGGAGUGAAGAAGGAAUUUGAUGAAGCCAAGCUUCGAUUUGCUGCUGCUGAGGGAGAUCAUGUAACAUUCCUGAAUAUCUACAAAGGAUUUCACCAGUCUGGAAAAUCUAGCCAAUGGUGUUACAAGAACUUUUUGAAUUACCAAGCAUUGAAGAAAGUCGUUGAAAUUAGGGGCCAGCUUCUCAGGAUAGUGAAGGGUUUUGGAAUACCGCUGAAAUCAUGUGACAGAGAUAUGCAGGCAGUUAGAAAGGCCAUUAUUGCCGGUUCAUUUGCUAAUGCAUGUCAUCUGGAGGAAUACAGCCAAAAUGGAAUGUAUAAGAUGCUUAGGACAUCAAAAGAAGUAUACAUUCAUCCAUCUUCAGUUCUCUUUAGGGUCAAUCCCAAGUGGGUUGUUUACCAGUCUCUCGUUUCAACCGACAAGCACUACAUGAGGAAUGUUAUUGCCAUUGAACCGUCAUGGCUUACAGAAGCUGCACCGCAUUUUUAUCAGUUCCGAACACCGAAUCCAACUCUCCACUAACUUAACUCUGGGAGCUUUACUUUCUUAGCGGCACACUUUUAAUGAUGAAAAGGAUAUGCCCAACAGUUGUGGCGUUAUCCUACUCCAGUAAUUAUGGGACAUUGCUAAGGAAAUUGCUUGGCUGCAGCUCCUGGGAUAACCGAUAUGGCUGAGAAAUUUCAAAAGGCAGUUAUUUUCGCUGCACAUAUUCCUGAAGAUGCCAAUAU